Molecule: non-coding RNA, 73 nt
Organism: Stegodyphus mimosarum
Lineage: Eukaryota; Metazoa; Arthropoda; Arachnida; Araneae; Eresidae
Source: Rfam
GCCUUCGUGGUGUAGUAGUCAACACGCUGGACGCGUAACCGAGAGGUCCGUGGUUCGAUUCCCGACGAAGGCU